Long non-coding RNA from Centruroides sculpturatus (bark scorpion), 465 nucleotides. RefSeq lists it as uncharacterized. NCBI's taxonomy places the organism in Eukaryota, Metazoa, Arthropoda, Arachnida, Scorpiones, Buthidae. The transcript has 3 exons. The record is from RefSeq and is a predicted model, not a curated record.
UGAUCUUAUAUAAGUUGUAGAAUCUUUGGCUAGGAAAUAAUCUCUUAAAUUUCUAAACAUUUUGAUAUUGUUAUUAAUUUGUUAUUCAUUUGAAUUGUUAAUGUAAACUAUAAUGCAUUACUACAUAAAUUUCAUCUAGCAUUGAAGGUGACAAGCUGACAAGCUCCUUGAGAAUGAUUAAACAAGGUUGAGGUGAUACUGUCGUUAAAAGAAGGCUAUUUGUGUCUGGUAAUGGCUCAAGUUGUUGUCGCUGAUCAUAUGUUGUGCUGUCUACAUAAUCAUUGCUGGCUACAUCAAAAGCCAGGCCCUGAGGAUUGUACGUGUAUCCAUUUGGAGUGUUUUGCAUUAAAAAACAUUUUUCUGAGAAUGGAUUCCUUAGGCUUCACUGACUGGCAAAGGGUCCAUGGAACGAAAAAGGUUAAGAAUCCUAGUCAGUGCAAUGCAAGUAAGUUUUGGUGUGGCAAG